AGGGUUUCAUCGGAAAAACGUUAGUAUUAUGGAACUAAAAAUGGAGGUUCGAAUCCUUCUCUGCCC
This 66-nucleotide transfer RNA is filed under the name Crassvirales sp. RNAcentral describes it as "tRNA-OTHER". Lineage: Duplodnaviria; Heunggongvirae; Uroviricota; Caudoviricetes; Crassvirales. The record is from RNAcentral.